Molecule: non-coding RNA, 82 nt
Filed under: Vibrio fluvialis
Lineage: Bacteria; Pseudomonadati; Pseudomonadota; Gammaproteobacteria; Vibrionales; Vibrionaceae
Source: RNAcentral
UCAAUGGUGGGCUGGGCGGGGCAGCCUUCGGGCUGGCCGUGUCGAUGGUGCGGUAGUCCUAACCCUGUUCAGUCCAUCACCC